AUAUCCGACAUCCUGCUUCAUGCUGAGCUUGGCUGGACUGGUUUCCCAGGAGCACCAGCCCUUAGGCAGCCAGAGGGCAAGCGUGUGAUCGGGGAGGACGGCGCCGAGGGCUACAGUGACUUGUUCCAGGAGAACGCCAUGCUCCAGAAGGAGAACGCCACCUUGCUCAUGAGGGUGAAGGCCAUGCAGGAGGCCAUUGAUGCCAUCAACAGCCGGGUCACCCACCUGAGAGCCAGGAGGCCAAUUUGAUACUGGCCAAGGCAGGUGACGGCAACGAGGCCAUCGGCUCCCUGAUCCAGAACUACAUCUGGGAGAUCGAGCAGCUCAG
Molecule: long non-coding RNA, 328 nt
Organism: Malaclemys terrapin pileata
Lineage: Eukaryota; Metazoa; Chordata; Testudines; Emydidae
Exons: 3
Source: RefSeq, a predicted model, not a curated record